UCCGAGUUGACCCCGGCAGUCUCCUAUGAGUCCCCACCAUUACGUGCUGGCAACAUAGGACGAGGGUUGCGCUCGUUGCGGGACUUAACCCAACAUCUCACGACGCGAGCUGACGACAGCCAUGCACCACCUGUCACCGCCCCCGAAGGACCCGACAUCUCUGCCGGUUUUGCGGUGAUGUCAAACCCAGGUAAGGUUCUUCGCGUUGCAUCGAAUUAAUCCGCAUGCUCCGCCGCUUGUGCGGGCCCCCGUCAAUUCCUUUGAGUUUUAGCCUUGCGGCCGUACUCCCCAGGCGGGGCACUUAAUGCGUUAGCGACGGCGCGGAUCUCGUUGGUUGAGACCCACACCUAGUGCCCAUCGUUUACAGCGUGGACUAC
RNAcentral lists this unclassified non-coding RNA (377 nucleotides) under uncultured Actinomycetes bacterium. RNAcentral describes it as "uncultured actinobacterium contains 16S-23S intergenic spacer region". The record is from RNAcentral. Lineage: Bacteria; Bacillati; Actinomycetota; Actinomycetes.